This 496-nucleotide ribosomal RNA is filed under the name uncultured bacterium. RNAcentral's name for it is "partial 16S ribosomal RNA". It matches the Rfam family "Bacterial small subunit ribosomal RNA", at positions 29 to 507 of the family's 1533-position model. The record is from RNAcentral.
AUGAACGCUGGCGGCGUGCCUAAUACAUGCAAGUUGCGCGAACGGACGAGAAGCUUGCUUCUCUGAUGUUAGCGGCGGACGGGUGAGUAACACGUGGAUAACCUACCUAUAAGACUGGGAUAACUUCGGGAAACCGGAGCUAAUACCGGAUGAUAUUUUGAACCGCAUGGUUCAAAAGUGAAAGACGGUCUUGCUGUCACUUAUAGAUGGAUCCGCGCUGCAUUAGCUAGUUGGUAAGGUAACGGCUUACCAAGGCAACGAUGCAUAGCCGACCUGAGAGGGUGAUCGGCCACACUGGAACUGGGACACGGUCCAGACUCCUACGGGAGGCAGCAGUAGGGAAUCUUCCGCAAUGGGCGAAAGCCUGACGGAGCAACGCCGCGUGAGUGAUGAAGGUCUUCGGAUCGUAAAACUCUGUUAUUAGGGAAGAACAUAUGUGUAAGUAACUGUGCACAUCUUGACGGUACCUAAUCAGAAAGCCACGGCUAACUACGUG